AGGACGAACGCUGGCGGCGUGCUUAACACAUGCAAGUCACGGGGGCUCGCAAGGGCAACCGGCGAACGGGUGCGUAACACGUGAGCAACCUGCCGAUCUGAGGGGGAUAGCCGGCCCAACGGCCGGGUAAUACCGCAUACGUUCUUUUGGCCUCCUGGCUGAGAGAAGAAACCUCCGGGGCAGAUCGAGGGGCUCGCGGCCUAUCAGCUAGUUGGCGGUGUAAUGGACCACCAAGGCGACGACGGGUAGCUGGUCUGAGAGGAUGGCCAGCCACAUUGGGACUGAGAGACGGCCCAGACUCCUACGGGAGGCAGCAGUGGGGAAUCUUGCGCAAUGGCCGAAAGGCUGACGCAGCGACGCCGCGUGUGGGAUGAAGCAUUUCGGUGUGUAACCACUGUUGCCGGGACGAACAGCGCUUUUCGAGGCGCCUGACGGUACCGGUGAGGAGCGACCGGCUAACUCCGUGCCAGCAGCCGCGGU
Molecule: ribosomal RNA, 480 nt
Filed under: uncultured bacterium
Lineage: Bacteria
Description: SSU rRNA
Rfam family: Bacterial small subunit ribosomal RNA
Source: RNAcentral